AUUGAACGCUGGCGGCAGGCCUAACACAUGCAAGUCGAACGGUAGCACAGAGAGCUUGCUCUCGGGUGACGAGUGGCGGACGGGUGAGUAAUGUCUGGGAAACUGCCCGAUGGAGGGGGAUAACUACUGGAAACGGUAGCUAAUACCGCAUAACGUCGCAAGACCAAAGUGGGGGACCUUCGGGCCUCACACCAUCGGAUGUGCCCAGAUGGGAUUAGCUAGUAGGUGGGGUAAUGGCUCACCUAGGCGACGAUCACUAGCUGGUCUGAGAGGAUGACCAGCCACACUGGAACUGAGACACGGUCCAGACUCCUACGGGAGUCAGCAGUGGGGAAUAUUGCACAAUGGGCGCAAGCCUGAUGCAGCCAUGCCGCGUGUAUGAAGAAGGCCUUCGGGUUGUAAAGUACUUUCAGCGGGGAGGAAGGCGGUGAAGUUAAUAGCUUCACCGAUUGACGUUACCCGCAGAAGAAGCACCGGCUAACUCCGUGCCAGCCGCCGCAGUAA
RNAcentral lists this ribosomal RNA (504 nucleotides) under uncultured bacterium. Its description in RNAcentral is "partial 16S ribosomal RNA". It matches the Rfam family "Bacterial small subunit ribosomal RNA", at positions 30 to 523 of the family's 1533-position model. The record is from RNAcentral.